CAAGGGAUUCUGGGGAUUGUGGUUUCCGAACGGAUCGAGACUGACACCUCAAGGACGCGGCUUAGGCGCUUAGCCCCUAGCUGGUCCUGCGGGGCUUACCGACGUCACCUGAGCAGAGGUGGAAGACCGGAGGUGAUCGGGAAAUUUUUGCUGGCAGUUGGUGCCAGGCCACACCCGAAAGCCAACCCUAACAUAAAUAAACCCAGAGCCCUUCCUCCUCCAACUUCAAAAGCUGCUUUUGCUCCCAGACGUUACUGAGAACCGGCUCACGGGUCAGCUCUGAGCUAGGCGCUGUGAGAACGCUUAAUAAGACCGUAACUUUUCAGGAAGUCUACAGGCGAGACUCAAACUGAGAAACUUAAAGGGUGUGUGUGCGGGGCAAAUCGUAGGGUACCAGGAGACCCAAACCCCAAACUUUGGGGCUCGUCUGUCGGUGACCUUUUCCACCUUUUCUGAUGCUGUGGCUGUGCUGACCUUUGUUAAGCCACUCCCACACAAGAACUCUAGGGUGACCUUCUGCUAUUUGUUUUCACUUCAAGAUUCCCCUUUUGAUGCUUAUUUUAUCCUGAUACCGCCCGGGUGCCGAGAGUGGAGGUGGACGAUGUGAUUUGCAUCUGCAAAAUGCAGAAGAUUUGGGUCCCCUCUUGGAACCUUCUUCCAUCCCUAGAUUUCCUGAUAGAUGAUGCUGAAGAUGGAGGAACUGAAGCAUAGAGAUAAGUGACUUGCCCAAAGUCACACAGAUAGUAACUGGAAAAACCAGGACUCAAAUCCAAGCAUCUUAGCUUCAGAACUCAGUGCUUAACUAGCUACACCAAACUGCCUCCUCAAGAUGUAAGCACUGGGAAAAAUUGUUCAAUACAUACACGGAACGGACUUGAAGAAGUCUUCUUUUGGCAACAUCACUUAUUUCUUUGCAUGACUGAAAUAUAAGCCAAAGAAACAAACAAAGACACACAAAAACAAAGGGAUCUAGUCUCAAAAAUUACUGUUAACAAUAUAUCAACUUUAACUUGAUUGAUCCUUUUAAAGUUCUAUCAAAGGCAAAAAAAAAAAAAAAAAAAGAAAACUACCACUUGCAGAAAUUUAUUACCCAGUCAUUAGAGCCAUUCACUUCCUCAGUUUCUGGGAAAUAUAUAAAAAAGGUCUUACCAAAAUUUAACAUAUCAUUGCUAUUCCUUUCCUUAGUGGCACCUUUUUCAACCCAAUAUUUCCAAAAAGGGUUGAGGUAGAAAGAUGGCACAGUAGAAGGACAUGCUCUCACUCCCUCUUGUGAGAACACUGGAAUCACAACUAGCAGCUGGACAAUCAUCGACAGGAAGACACUGAAACUCACCAAAAAAUAUAUCCCACAUCCAAAGAAAAAGAAGAAGCCACAAUGAAAUGGGGCUUCCCUGGUGACGCAGUGGUUAAGAAUCCGCCUGCCAAUGCAGGAGACAUGGGUCGAGUCCUGGUCCGGGAAGAUCCCACAUGCCGCGGAGCGGUGCGCCACAGCUACUGAGCCUGCGCUCUAGAGCCUGCGAGCCACAACUACUGAAGCCUGCGCCUAGAGCCCGUGCUCCCCAGUAAGAGAAGCCACCGCAAUGAGAAGCCCGCGCAUGGCAACAAAGAGUAACCCCGCUUGCUGCAACAAGAGAAAGCCGGCGCACAGCAAAGAUCGAAUGCAGCCAAAAAUAAAUUAA
This is a long non-coding RNA of Orcinus orca (killer whale), 1679 nucleotides long. RefSeq lists it as uncharacterized. The record is from RefSeq and is a predicted model, not a curated record. The transcript is spliced from 4 exons. NCBI's taxonomy places the organism in Eukaryota, Metazoa, Chordata, Mammalia, Artiodactyla, Delphinidae.